Suncus etruscus (white-toothed pygmy shrew) is the source of this 381-nucleotide non-coding RNA. NCBI's taxonomy places the organism in Eukaryota, Metazoa, Chordata, Mammalia, Eulipotyphla, Soricidae. The record is from the annotation of a RefSeq genome assembly.
AUGAGGUUCCCUGUUCAGCUUCUGUGUCUGCUGGUGCUAUGGAUCUUAGGAGCUAAAGGUGAUAUUGUGCUGACCCAGAGUCCACUUUCCCUCUCCGUUGUCCCCAGAGAACUGGCUUCCAUCUCCUGCAAAUCCAGUGAGACUCUGCUGUACAAUGAUGGAAAUACCUAUCUUUACUGGUACCAUCAGAAGCCAGGCCAGCCCCCAAGGCGCCUGUUCUAUCAAAUUUCCUAUCGGGAAACUGGGGUCCCAGACAGAUUCAGUGCCAGUGGUUCAGAGACUGAUUUCACUCUUCAAAUAAGUAGGGUGGAGCCUGAGGAUGUUGGAGUUUACUACUGCUUUCUAGCUACAAAGUCAUGUCAUACAGUGAUACAGCUCUAA